UACGAAGGGUGCAAGCGUUACUCGGAAUUACUGGGCGUAAAGCGUGCGUAGGUGGUUUGUUAAGUCUGAUGUGAAAGCCCUGGGCUCAACCUGGGAAUUGCAUUGGAUACUGGCAGGCUAGAGUGCGGUAGAGGAUGGCGGAAUUCCCGGUGUAGCAGUGAAAUGCGUAGAUAUCGAGAGGAACACCAGUGGCGAAGGCGAGUCCCUGGACAACACCUGACACUGAGGCACGAAAGCUAGGGGAGCAAACAGG
This 253-nucleotide ribosomal RNA is filed under the name uncultured bacterium. RNAcentral describes it as "partial 16S ribosomal RNA". It matches the Rfam family "Bacterial small subunit ribosomal RNA", at positions 524 to 776 of the family's 1533-position model. The record is from RNAcentral.